RNA transcript from Bactrocera neohumeralis, 715 nucleotides. It is a transcript of the gene named probable prefoldin subunit 4, with no coding region annotated. NCBI's taxonomy places the organism in Eukaryota, Metazoa, Arthropoda, Insecta, Diptera, Tephritidae. The record is from RefSeq and is a predicted model, not a curated record. The transcript has 4 exons.
AUUUGACAUUUAGCUAAAACUCACUACAUUGUUUAUCACCGCAAGCAGGUGUGAAGAAAAUUACUUUAAAAUCAUCAAUUAAUACAUAAAUAUCAAUCAAAAAUGGCUGCGAAAGUUUCAUCAGGCAAUAAUAAAGUCUUCCAAGCGGACGAUGUGCACAUCUCAUUUGAAGACCAACAGAAAAUCAAUCGUUUUGCAAAGCACAAUGCCCGUAUGGAUGAUCUCAAAAUGGAAUUGGACAUGAAAAAGAACGAUUUAAAGAGUGUCGAGGAGGCACUGGAUGAAAUCGAGCUUUUCGACGAAGACGAAGAAAUACCAUUCUUGUUUGGUGAAGUUUUUCUCACACACAAAUUGACAAAAACACAGGAAUUAUUGGCUGAGGUUAAAGAGCAAACAUUAAAGGAAAUUGCGGCAAUUGAAGUGAAAGCUAACGAAAUCAAAGCCGAAAUGAAUGAAUUAAAAUCACAUUUAUAUCAACGUUUUGGCAGCAAUAUUUCGUUAGAGAGCGAGGAUUAGCUUGUGUAAAAUUGUAACAGUCAAAAAUUAGUAAGCAACUAAUAUUGAUUCAAAUAUAAAACUAUUCAGUCUGAGUGCCAAAAAUGAACAUGAGAUUGUCGCUUGCAUUUUCCAGGCAAGCAGCCUAAAAAUAUAGAUGUUUAAUAUAUAUAAACAUGGUAUUAAAAAUGAAAAUACCUCCAAGAAAUUUGUGUCGAAA